Molecule: ribosomal RNA, 395 nt
Filed under: uncultured bacterium
Lineage: Bacteria
Description: bacterial SSU rRNA
Rfam family: Bacterial small subunit ribosomal RNA
Source: RNAcentral
AAUCAACGCUGGCGGCGUGCCUAACACAUGCAAGUCGAGCGCGAAAGCGGGGCAACCCGCAAGUAGAGCGGCGAACGGGUGAGUAACGCGUGGGUGAUCUACCUCCGAGUGGGGAACAACAUCGGGAAACUGGUGCUAAUACCGCAUGACAUCCUCAGGUCACACUGAGGAUCAAAGCCGGGGACCGUAAGGCCUGGCGCUUGGAGAGGAGCCCGCGUCCGAUAGCUAGUUGGCGGGGUAACGGCCCACCAAGGCGACGAUCGGUAGCCGGCCUGAGAGGGCGGACGGCCACACUGGGACUGCGACACGGCCCAGACUCCUACGGGAGGCAGCAGUGGGGAAUUUUGGACAAUGGGCGCAAGCCUGAUCCAGCCAUGCCGCGUGUGUGAAGAAGG